AUUGAACGCUGGCGGUAUGCUUAACACAUGCAAGUCGAACGGCAGCACAGCAGAGCUUGCUCUGUGGGUGGCGAGUGGCGGACGGGUGAGUAAUACAUCGGGACCUACCCAGACGUGGGGGAUAACGUAGGGAAACUUACGCUAAUACCGCAUACGUCCUACGGGAGAAAGCAGGGGAUCUUCGGACCUUGCGCGGUUGGACGGACCGAUGUUCGAUUAGCUUGUUGGUGAGGUAAUGGCUCACCAAGGCGACGAUCGAUAGCUGGUCUGAGAGGAUGAU
RNAcentral lists this ribosomal RNA (280 nucleotides) under uncultured bacterium. RNAcentral's name for it is "partial 16S ribosomal RNA". It matches the Rfam family "Bacterial small subunit ribosomal RNA", at positions 30 to 304 of the family's 1533-position model. The record is from RNAcentral.